Molecule: long non-coding RNA, 538 nt
Organism: Gallus gallus (chicken)
Lineage: Eukaryota; Metazoa; Chordata; Aves; Galliformes; Phasianidae
Exons: 2
Source: RefSeq, a predicted model, not a curated record
GUAGGUUACCAUGGGAGACACUGUUGUGGAUGUUUACUAUGCUGCCUGAUCUGGAGAAGGAAGUUGGAGCUCCUGUCUCAUCUCCACAUCCUCCGUCAGUGUGAAUACGUAAGCCAUCAAGGCCUUGACAUAAAGGCUGGUCUCAUCAAAUGUAACAUUCUUAAGACAACGUAAGGCGUUAUCCAGCAUUGUAUCCUGAGAAAGGAAUUGAAAGUAAAUUUCACAAUAUAUCAACAAUCCUCAAGUAUUACAGCUACAUCUUCCCUGCAAGCCCUGCAUCAUUUUCAGUGACAAGUGUUCCCCCAAGAUUAGUCAGGAAUGACAGAUGAUCUGCUUGCUGCAAAUCAGGUCAAUGACAGUAAGAACACAUUAUCCAUGUUAAAAGGCCCUAAAAGAGUUCAGACAUGACUUACAUUUUUCUCCAAUUGGAGCUCAAGAAGGGCAGCAGCGACAUAGGCUGUUAAUGAGAUUGUAUCAUCCACACCACCCUGUAAAUCACACAGACAGACAAAAAUGAACAUUGCUUGCCUCCAAACAG